CGAGUAGUAACAGAAACAGAGUUCCCCUGUGGUGGUGGUUCGCCGUGAAACAGAGUUAUGUCCGCCGUCAAAUCUCAACGUUUCUUCUCCUCUACUGUAAGUCUUUCAUAAAGCUUUUAUUUUUCUUCAUGGGUUCCGUUCCAAAAUAGAUCGUCAACGAUUAGGAAUUUGAUUGAAUUGCUCUUCAUAUUAGGGUUCUUUGAAAAAUGGUUUUUAUAGAAUCAGAACAUGAUCUUCGGAUCUUUCAAGGCAUAGACAAGCUUUGUGCUGGCAAAUAAUAGUUUGCUUUAGGAUCUUCAGAUCUCAAUCAUACGUUUAACGCCUAGACAUGAUGUUUAGAUAUAGACGAGCCUUGGUUGUGUUGUAUGAAAUAAUAGUUUGGUUCAAUUUUUCUUACAAGUAUAAGUUUAAGCCUAGAUGAGGUAAGAGAUUACGCAUGAUAGGCUCAGUUCAUAGCUCUGUUUUAUUGUCAGGUCUUGUUUCAGACAUUUAAUAUUCAGUAUUGAAUCUUUUUGCAUAAUCAAACAACUUUAGUGUCUUGAUCUUCACUUCAAACUUUGGUCCGUUAUUGUGUGAAGCAACAGCUAUAAUGCUUCCACUUUCUCAGAAUCACUUCUGUUUUACAAGCAAUGAUCACUUCUGAUCUAAUGUCUUCGUUAUGACUAGACAAGAUAGAGCAGAGGAAGGUGGUUUUGUUGGGUUUCUUGGAGAGUGUAGCCUUAUAACCCUUUCUCUAUAUCUGAUCUCUAGAAUCCCUCCAGUCUAUAGCUCCUACAUGACUUUCUUCUUAGUUCAUAGUUUCUGUUUUGAAACCCUCUCUUCAAGACUUAAAAGAAUAUAACUUUAUAGAAUCCAAACAUGAUGAGCUUAGACGAGUCUUUGGUGGUUCAUUUAUGUUUGCUUGUUGUAGGAAAUAUGAUUUGCUUGUUGUCUGAGACUUUAAAACUGAUCUUGAUUUGCUUUGUCUGUAGUUAAUAUGUUUUGUUUUGUUUAUUUGUCUUCACUGCUUGUUGAGCCUUCUAGAUUUUGCUGUAACUAUGCUAAGCCAAAUGAGUAUCUUUACUUGAGAGCUGAGAUUUGAUUUACAAGUUACAACAAUAAGUAUCCUAUUGUCUCCAAACUGUAUUUAGAUUUACAGUUGAAGAGAAACGAGAUUUGGGUGAUUGAUGUUUCUUUAUCUCCCUUGCAAAUUCCAUGGAAGCUCCUUCUAAUAGCUUCAGCCGGAGCACAAGACAGUUCUUCUGCUGUAAGCUCAAAAAUACACAGGAAACUUUGGAUGACAAGGUUUCAUCUUUUUGUGUUGAUUCAGGGUUGAACAAGAUUCAACAUCGAUUCUAAGCAAAUCAGACGAUGAAACAUAAGACGAAUAAAACCCAAAUCUUUUCGAAACAAAGUCCACACACAAUCAAUCAUCGCAGCCUAUCUUCAAAAGUUUAGAGCUAAACUCAUUUGACUGAACUUAUGAAAACUAUGAAUUCAUUAUUCAAAACUGAGCUACCAAAGUCAGAUUCCCUUAUCUAGUGUAACUCUUGGUAUCAUCGACCGCUCAUUAUAACAAUGUCUCAGACUAAAUAGAAUCAAG
This 1582-nucleotide long non-coding RNA is filed under the name Capsella rubella. RNAcentral describes it as "long non-coding RNA (CRUB_LNC003808)". The record is from RNAcentral. Lineage: Eukaryota; Viridiplantae; Streptophyta; Magnoliopsida; Brassicales; Brassicaceae.